RNAcentral lists this unclassified non-coding RNA (232 nucleotides) under uncultured fungus. Its description in RNAcentral is "partial contains 18S rRNA, ITS1, 5.8S rRNA, ITS2 and 28S rRNA". Lineage: Eukaryota; Fungi. The record is from RNAcentral.
AAGGAUCAUUAAAGAGUUAGGGUCUUCCAGGCCCGACCUCCCAACCCUUUGUUUAUUGAACCUCUGUUGCUUCGGCGGACCCGUCUCACGACCGCCGGAGGACCGCCCGCAACGGCGUCCUCUGGCCAGCGUCCGCCGAUAGCCAACCACUAAACUCUGAAUAAAUCGUGUCAUAUGUCUAAGUAAUUGAUUAAAUAAAGCAAAACUUUCAACAACGGAUCUCUUGGUUCUG